UACGUAGGGGGCUAGCGUUGCCCGGAUUCACUGGGCGUAAAGCGGGUGUAGGCGGUUCUUUAAGUCGGAUGUGGAAUCCAGCGGCCCAACCGCUGAAUUGCAUCCGAUACUGGGGAACUUGAGGACGGUAGAGGUCGGUGGAAUAUCCGGUGUACCGGUGAAAUGGACAGAUAUCGGAUGGAACACCAGUGGCGAAGGCGGCCGACUGGGCCGAUCCUGACGCUGAGACCCGAAAGCUAGGGUAGCGAACCGG
Molecule: ribosomal RNA, 253 nt
Filed under: uncultured bacterium
Lineage: Bacteria
Description: partial 16S ribosomal RNA
Rfam family: Bacterial small subunit ribosomal RNA
Source: RNAcentral